CCCUUAGAUGUUCUGGGCCGCACGCGCGCUACACUGACGAAUUCAACGGGCUUAUAACCUUGGCCGAAAGGUCUAGGUAAUCUCCAAAAUUCGUCGUGAUGGGGAUAGAUUAUUGCAAUUAUUAAUCUUCAACGAGGAAUGCCUAGUAAGCGCAAGUCAUCAGCUUGCGUUGAUUACGUCCCUGCCCUUUGUACACACCGCCCGUCGCUCCUACCGAUUGAAUGGUCCGGUGAAGCGUUUGGACUAUGGUUUUCUGACGGUUCGCCAUUGGAUUACCGUGGAAAUUCGUUAAACCUUNUNAUUUAGNGGAAGGAGAANUCGUANCA
RNAcentral lists this ribosomal RNA (326 nucleotides) under uncultured eukaryote. RNAcentral's name for it is "partial 18S ribosomal RNA". It matches the Rfam family "Eukaryotic small subunit ribosomal RNA", at positions 1470 to 1796 of the family's 1831-position model. The record is from RNAcentral.